CCUACGGGCGGCUGCAGUCGAGAAUCUUUCACAAUGGGGGCAACCCUGAUGGAGCGACGCCGCGUGGAGGAUAAGGUCUUCGGAUUGUAAACUCCUGUCAUGCGAGAACAAGGUUGCAGGGCUAACACCUUUGCAAAUUGAUGGUACCGCAAGAGGAAGAGACGGCUAACUCUGUGCCAGCAGCCGCGGUAAUACAGAGGUGUCAAGCGUUGUUCGGAAGCGCGGGGCGUAAACGGUGUGAAGCUGGCGUGAAAGCCCGGGGAUCAACCUCGGAAUUGCAUCCGAUACUGCCAUGCUGGAGUACUGAAGAGGUGACUAGAAUUCUAGGUGUAGCGGUGAAAUGCGUAGAUAUCUAGAGGAAUACCAACGGCGAAGGCAGGUCACUGGGCAGUUACUGACACUGAGGCACGAAGGCCAGGGGAGCAAACGGGAUUAGAUACCCUAGUAGUC
This 450-nucleotide ribosomal RNA is filed under the name uncultured bacterium. RNAcentral describes it as "partial 16S ribosomal RNA". It matches the Rfam family "Bacterial small subunit ribosomal RNA", at positions 338 to 795 of the family's 1533-position model. The record is from RNAcentral.